This 6504-nucleotide long non-coding RNA is filed under the name Sus scrofa (pig). Its description in RNAcentral is "lncRNA (ENSSSCG00050010102.1)". The record is from RNAcentral. Lineage: Eukaryota; Metazoa; Chordata; Mammalia; Artiodactyla; Suidae.
ACAUACACAAAAUUUACCAAAAAAGUAAAAGUGGCCCAAACAUGUAGUGACAUUUAUUUCCAUUAGUAAUCCAAAAAGUAAAUAUUUAGGAGUGCCUGUCGUGGCACAGUGGUUAACGAAUCCGACUAGGAACCAUGAGGUUGCGGGUUCGGUCCCUGGCCUUGCUCAGUGGGUUAACGAUCCGGCGUUGCCGUGAGCUGUGUUGUAGGUUGCAGACAUGGCUCGGAUCCUGCGUUGCUGUGGCUCUGGCGUAGGCCAGUGGCUACAGCUCCGAUUGGACCCCUAGCCUGGGAACCUCCAUAUGCCGCAGGAGUGGCCCAAAGAAAUAGCAAAAAGACAAAAAAUAAAUAAAUAAAUAAAUAAAUAUUUAAAUGAGAGUAUGUACCAUUUUUUGCCUAUCAAAAUAACAUAGUUUAACAGGAAUGAGGCUAUUAAAAUUGUCUUUGCUUUGAGGAAAUAAGCCCUCUGGUACACAGACUAUAAAACUUUAUUGGGACAAAUUUCCUGUGUGGCAAUUUGUCAGAAUCUAUCAAAUUAGAUAUCAAAAAGAAAUAUCUUCCAUUUGAUCUAAUGAUCCCAAAUCUAUGCAUUUAUACCAGAGAAACAGAGAAAUUAGCAAAGAUACACCUACCAUGUUACUCGUCAUAGUUUAUAAUGAUAAUUAUAUUAGAAACAAUCUGGAAGUCAAAAAAAUCAGGAUUGGUUAAAUAUUUUUGUGUAUGUAUAUGAAUUAUUUAAAAUUAUCCACAUCUAUAUGUACUAACACGGAAAGGGGUUUGUUGUAUUUAGAAGGAAAAACAAGUUAGAGAGCCUUGUUACAUUUUAAAUAAUACAUUGCACACAUGGAAAAGUUUCUAAGAUCACAUGCCAGUAAUGGCUAUGGCUAGUUAGUAAUACAUGUUACUUUUCUUUCUUUCUUUCCUUCCUUCCUUCCUCCCUACCUUCCUUUCUUCCCUAUAAAUAUAUAUUUAUAUUUAAUAUCCAUUCUUUAUCACACUGCCAAAAUAUUACUUAUUUAAACUUUAUAUAAAAGAAAGAUUAUAAUUCUGACAGUUUAGAAUAUUAACACUUCUUAGAUCUGAAGGGGACCUCGAGCUUGUUUAUUAUAUCCUCGUUAUUUAAACACCAGGAGUCAAAUGCUUGAGUUGUUAAACGAAUUCUCCCAAAUCGAAUUACAGGCAGAGCAAGGACAACAAUGGAUGUCUUGUGAAUCCUAAUCCAUGAUCCUCUUUCACAUCACAGUGGUAGCCCCCAAACAAUGUUUUUGGUAGAAGCUCCGUUUAAAAUAUGAUGUGUGUGCAUUCAUUAAAUGAAAAUAUGCAAAUCUCUUUGCAUGCCUUUAUUAUUUUCUAGAAAUUCACAUCUUAUGACUCUCAAUCCUUCAUUUUCUUCCAUGGAUAGUGGUAAUCUCUAAAGAAUACUUUGUAGAAAAGAAUAAAAUGAGUAUAUGUGUUUGUGAAACACACUUUGCAAGUCUACUUGCAUGCUUUUCUUUUUUUUAAAUUUGAUGUCAUAGCUUCAACCAUAAAUUCUUUGAAAUUAUUGUUAUAGCCAACAAAUUGUUGUAGAGAAAAAAAUAUGUUGCAGAGAAUUGGAGACAUGUCUUCUAACUCCAUAUAUACCAAUGUAAGGUUAGUUCUUUAGAGAUUCAUUGAUAAGUAUAAAUUGUAGGCAGUUCCUGUCAUGGCUCAGAGGUUAACAAAAUGGACUAGCAUCCAUGAGGACUCAGGUUCCAUCGCUGACCUUGUUCAGUGCAUUAAGGAUCCAGCAUUGCUGUGAGCCUUGGUGUAGGUUGCAGACGUGGCUUGGAUAUUGCACUGUUGUGGCUGUGCUGUAGCUUGGUGGCUACAGCUCCAAUUGGACCCCUAGGGUGGGAGCCUCCAUAGGUCACAGGUGCGGCCCUAAAAAGACAAAAGACAAAAAAAUAAAUAAAAUAAAACAGUAUAAAUUGUAGAUGAAUCAUGGGUAAAAACUAGGCUAAGAAUGAAUACUAAAACAGUAUUUUUCUUUAUAUAGAUUGGUCUGAUUUCUUAACAGUUUUACUCUAGAUAGAGUUAUCAUCAAUAUAGAAAUCACCAUCAACAGAGUACAUUUUUGGAAAAAAUGUAAAGCAAGUUUUAAUGAAUUUUUCAUUUUUGAAGUGGAAUCAGAAAGUUGUCAUUUUAUUGUUAGAGUUAAAAUAGUACUGUUGCCUAUAUUAAAAGUUUAUAACUAAAUUAUAUACAUUCUAAAGUCAUUGUAAUGCUUUAUUCAUUUUGUUAAAAAUCAAAGGAGGUAGAUCAAACCAGAUCUUUUUAAGAUACUUCCUUCAUAGCUGGCCAAUAUCUUAUCCUCAAUUAUGCCAUCAAUUUCCCAUUAGUAGUCACUUAGAUUUUCCUCUGAAUACUUAAGUUCUAAUUGUAAUCACUUCUAAUUGUGACUAUUUGUCUUGGGGGAAAUUACUCCUUCUUUAGAGUAAAUAUAGUCUUGACCCUUAUUGAUAAUGGUAAUAGUGUCCUUAAGAACAUGAUAUUUCAUAAUAUUUAGGUGUUUAAUGUAUAAACUAAAUAUCUAGAUGAUGUACUAUAUGACUACUCAUCUGACAUUUUAGAGAUUUUAGUGUCAUAUUUUUUACAUAUGCCUGUACUACGUGUACAUAUGUGUCCAUGUGGACACAUUUCUUAUUACCACUGGCUUUUUAAAACAAGAAAAUAUACCAUCGAAAGAGAUAAAAUUAGAUUAAUUUGGACCUGAUGUUUUUACAAAAAUUCACGUUUUAAGUUAGUAGAAGUAUUUUAAGGUACAUGCUGAUGUUUCAGUAUUAAGUUGUCCUUGUGAAUUUACACCUGAGAAAUUUAAUUCCAUCACCCUUGAGCUUCCAGAAAUGUUUCUUAGUCCCUACUGGCUUGGGAAGUUUUUCAUUAGCAGGAUUCUCAUUCUCAUUUAGGAAGAAUCCAUAAUGUUAGCCUGAUUAUCUUCAAACUGCCUGUCCUUGAGCAUGUUUCAAUGAGGUAUGGCUCUUUGCAUACAUUUGCCUAUUAUUACAUUCAUCACAUAUAAUAUUCAUCUUUUGUUAAAGGCAGAAUCAUUUUCUGGGAAGUGGAAUGAUAUGUCUAAAUGGAGAUUGAUUCAUUCAUUGAUUAAUUGAUUCAUUUAGUAAAUACCAUUCAACACCUGCUAUAGAAAGGUCGUUGACUUCAAAAAAUAACUGAUUUGGUAACCACCUGCCACAGAAUCUAAAUAUAAAGGUAGAGUGGGUGGCAGUAUAAAUGAAACAAAAUUGUCAAUCCUUGUUGAUCAUUGUUAAGUUUGGAUGAUGGGCACAUGGCAAUUCAUUAUACUGUUGUCUCUCUUUUUAAAUAUGUUUAAAAAAUAAAAAUCCUUUAUCAAGGUUUAUUUUACUCAGUUGGGCAUUUGUAUCCCAUUCCCCUAAAAAAGAAACCAUUGGAAUUUGGUUUGAUUUUUUUUUUUGGCAUUUGUUUUGUUUUGUUUUUUGUUGUUUUUGUUUUGCAGGGGGAUCCUCUUUCUGAAAUUAUAAGACCCAUUAUACACAAUUUAACAGUUUCUCCUCAGCACCAAUUUCUAAAAUUCUUUAUCCUGAAAAGAUAAUAGUAUCCACUUUUCUUCAGGUGUGGGGUCAAGAGUGAGGUUAGGAGCUUGACUGAGUUGAACUACUUGCUAGAAUCACCUCCUUCCUAUUUUAGCCUCUAGGCUAUUACAUUUAAAAGCAUUUUUUAUUAACGUAUACUUGAUUUACAGUGUUCCUUCAAUUUCUGCUGUAUGGCAAAGUGACCCAGUCAAUACAUAUAUAUAUGUAUCAUCUUCCAUCAUGUUCUAACCCAAGACCUUGCACAUAGUGUCCUUUGGUCAUGACCGUUCCCUAGUUGACUGAUACUAUUAAUUUUGUUACCAUGUUUUCUACUUUUUUGUUCACUUUGUAAUAUUUUAGGGAAAAGAGAUUCUGAUUUGCACCAUUAUUUCUCUAUCUUAAGAAUGAUCAGGCCUCAUUUUUAAUUUCUUUGAAUAAGUUCAACUCAUAAAGACAAAAUCAAAUGUUUCCUUGUAAUUAAAACAGAGAUACAUGUACACUAACUACAGAAAUUUAACAGAAACAAUGAAGGUCAAUAAUGCAGGACCUUUAGGAUCUUAUUUUCAUAAAGAUCUAUCCAGUACUUUUUUUUUCUUUUUUAAUAAUUUUUUUUUCCUCAUUAUAGCUGGUUUACAGUGUUCUAUCAGUUUUCUACUAUUCAUCAUGGUGACCUAGUUACACAUACAUGUAUAGAUUCUUUUUUCUCACAUUAUCAUGCUCCAUCACAAGUGUCUAGAUCCACUGCUUUAAAUAAGUGAUUAGAAAGCUGGCUCUUGUUUAGAGAGAGAAACUGUGAAUGUUUCAGGUGAUGAUCUCUUGGAAAGUAUUCUUAAACACAUUACCACAAAGAAAGAAGUCAUAGAUGAGUUCAAAAUACAGAUAACCUGCAUGGGAGUAAAACCACAUGCUCAAUGUGAAAUAAUGGGUGUUCCAAAAUACAGCUGACCUUUCUCUGACCUUAAGAAAGGCAAUUUGUGUCAGUGAAGAAAUGAUGACAGAACUUCAGGUAUUGCUGUUCUCAAGCAAACUGUAAGUUCUUUAGAAUCAAAGGCCUUUUAGUAUUUGCAAACGUGAAGUGGUUGUCAUGUAUACACUAUGCACUACCAUCUCUUGCACAUGGUAAGCACUGAGCUAUUUGCUGUCAUUAUCAUCAUCGCUUUUAAUAGCCUAGUCCUUUGCUGAGUAUAUGGAAAAUGCCCAGUAAAAUAAUUUUUAAGUUGAAUUUACAUGAACAAACUAGUGAUUGUUUUCAUACAAAUAAAACAGCAAAAAAAAGAUGAAAACAACAACUGAGCAUCAUACAGAAAUUAAGGGAAAUUACUAUGUAAAAAUAGAGCCUGUUGUGGGUAACAGGGAGAAUAAAGGAAAUCUGUAUUUUCUACUUAGUUUUGCUGUGAAUCUAAGGCAUUUAUUAAAAUUGCCUAUUAAAAAAUAGAAUAUGUAACUUGUGUUUUUAAUCAGUGGAUAUUUUCUACUAUAAUUUGUGUGACUUUUAAAAUGUGACUAAAAUAUAUUAGAUUGUACAUAUAUACAUAUAUAUAUACUAAAAUGAUGAAAAAUCAAAUGAAAGGUAAAAACUACUAAUUUUUAGUGUCUGCAUAUAUAUGUGUGUGUUAUAUUUUUGUUUUGUCUUACUAUAGUGUUUUCAAAUAUGUAAUUUUAAUUUGAGGUUGUAAUUAUUUUUUAAAAUGAGAAUGCAGAAAUGCAAUGAUAUAUAACAAAAGCAAUUACAGGAAAUAAAGGUUCUUAAUUCCUCUUUAAGUGAAUUAUCCCCUGUUUACUCUAUUAUUCUAUUAAGUUUGUGGAACUAUAAUACCAUAACUCUGGGAAAAAGCAUGUUCACUAAUUAAGGAUUUUCCAUCCUCAUCCCUGGUUAUCUACAGAGGGCAGCAAAGAACUUCUAUUCAAAGACCAGCAUGUUGUCUUAAAGCUUUUAAGAGUUGCUUUCUGAUUCAGCGUCAUUGGAGGCACUGUGAAACAUGACAAAAAUCAAGGUUCAGUUUGCUGAACUUACAGGAUUGUUGUUUGCUGUACAUGGAAGAGAGCAAGGGAACACACAGGUCAGAAUCAGUUAAAUUGACUGCAGUCAAGGGAAGGGAGCAAAUUAAUGCUUUCAGUAUGUCAGUCAUUUCACUAACACUGCUCCAAAGCUUGAUCCUAACAAAGAUAGUUUUUUUAAAAAAUAUUUUACUAAAAUAUUACAAGUAAGUUGUAGUCAGAUUCUCAAAAAUAUCGAUAUCAUAAAAUUGUAAACUGAUAACCAUUAAUGAGUAACAGUUUAUGGUAAAUUCUAUAGUGUUCUAAGUAAGUUUGAUUUUGACUGCUUUUCUAGUAAUUUAUUUAUGCCUUUAAUUUUAUACUUUUUGUGUUCUGAUUCUGAGAUACAGUUUACCUAGUAGGAGGUUUAUGAUGAUAUGCUCUUGAAGUCAACACUUGUGGAAUGGAGGGGAGGGAAGAAAGACUGAGCACAGAGAAAGGUCAAACUGCAGUUCAUGCCCAACCCCUAGGUCAAGGCUCUGCAGUGUCCUCUUAAAUCAGACUGAGAGGGUGAAGUCUAUAUAAUCUUACCUGGGUCAUUCAGUGCAUGUGGGCCACUUGCAGGAGAGGACAGACGCUGGGCAAGGCAACUCAGGCCAUCCCUGCUGAGGUAGCAUGGCGUUCCUUAAAGGGAUAUUUGACUGGGGCAUCCCAAUAUCCACUACAGUCAUGCACAAUAGAAACUAUGCAAAACACCUUACACAAAUGGAUGACCUUUACAUUUCGUUUGUUAUCUUUUAUAGUUUUAACUCAUUAAUUCAUGUUUAAAGGAAGCUAUUAUAUUAGCAUGUCUGGGUUAUGGUUUUAAAAUCUGGCUCUUAAUGGGUGAGAUAGGCAGUAAAUUAGAAUACUGAAUUGAAUUCUAUAUCCCAGGUUUAUAUUAAGAAAGAAAAAAAAAA